This 450-nucleotide ribosomal RNA is filed under the name uncultured Glomeromycotina. RNAcentral describes it as "SSU rRNA". It matches the Rfam family "Eukaryotic small subunit ribosomal RNA", at positions 569 to 1025 of the family's 1831-position model. The record is from RNAcentral. Lineage: Eukaryota; Fungi; Glomeromycota.
AGCAGCCGCGGUAAUUCCAGCUCCAAUAGCGUAUAUUAAAGUUGUUGCAGUUAAAAAGCUCGUAGUUGAAUUUCGGGAUCAGUAGGUCGGUCAUGCCUCAGGUAUGUACUGGUCUCACUGGUUCCUCCUUCCUGAUGAACCGUAAUGCCAUUAAUUUGGUGUUGCGGGGAAACUGGACUGUUACUUUGAAAAAUUAGAGUGUUUAAAGCAGGCUAACGCUUGAAUACAUUAGCAUGGAAUAAUGAAAUAGGACGUUCGAUCCUAUUUUGUUGGUUUCUAGGAUUGACGUAAUGAUUAAUAGGGAUAGUUGGGGGCAUUAGUAUUCAAUUGUCAGAGGUGAAAUUCUUGGAUUUAUUGAAGACUAACUACUGCGAAAGCAUUUGCCAAGGAUGUUUUCAUUAAUCAAGAACGAUAGUUAGGGAUCGAAGACGAUCAGAUACCGUCGUAGUC